UUACCAAACUCAAGUGCUCUGC
Molecule: non-coding RNA, 22 nt
Filed under: Arabidopsis thaliana (thale cress)
Lineage: Eukaryota; Viridiplantae; Streptophyta; Magnoliopsida; Brassicales; Brassicaceae
Source: RNAcentral